Molecule: ribosomal RNA, 251 nt
Filed under: uncultured bacterium
Lineage: Bacteria
Description: partial 16S ribosomal RNA
Rfam family: Bacterial small subunit ribosomal RNA
Source: RNAcentral
GCGCUGACGAGUGGCGGACGGGUGCGUAACGCGUAGGAAUCUGCCUAUUAGUGGGGGACAACAUGGUGAAAACCAUGCUAAUACCGCAUACGCCCUACGGGGGAAAGCGGGGGAUCUUCGGACCUCGCGCUAAUAGAUGAGCCUGCGUUAGAUUAGCUAGUUGGUAAGGUAAUGGCUUACCAAGGCAACGAUCAAUAGCUGUUCUUAGAGGAAGACCAGCCACAUUGGGACUGAGACACGGCCCAAACUCC